Arachis stenosperma is the source of this 2243-nucleotide long non-coding RNA. RefSeq lists it as uncharacterized. The record is from RefSeq and is a predicted model, not a curated record. Lineage: Eukaryota; Viridiplantae; Streptophyta; Magnoliopsida; Fabales; Fabaceae. The transcript has 10 exons.
CUCUUCAUUUCACACUACACCCUCACGAUUCAUCACUCAUCCCUCUGAAUGCUUCAUCGGCGGCGCUAUCAGCAUUGCACCGCCGUCUCACCGAACCUCCAUUGCACUCUACUUCCAUCGGCCUUGCUCGCAUCACUCCCUUCCGUCGCACCCCUUCCUGGUUCUUUUCGUCGCACCCCUUCCAUCGGCCUUGCUCGCUUCGCUCCCUUUUGAACCCUAAUGUGUGUUUCUCUCUUCAAUCUCGCCACUAGUGCUUGCUCUUUUCCGUGUGUUGCUGUGUUUCUCUCUUCGAUCAUGCCUCAGCUGUGAAGAUAACCUAAUCUCUUUUCUCUUUCAUCGCUGUUUUCUUUCUUUCAAUACCAUCGCUAACUCUAAUUAUAUUAUCCUAUGUUCCAUCGCUAACUAUGAUUCUAUUUCCUAUUCUAUGAUAAGAACUUGUAACAGUUAUAGUUUUUUAUUUUGUGUUCUUAUAAACAUGUUCGUGAAAUCAAGGUUCCUGAAUGCAUUGACUAGUUUUAUUUUUAUUGCUGAGGAAGAGGAGGAGGAAGCAGAGAUAGAGUAUAUGGAAGGUUAUGAUGAACUUGAAGAGGAAGAUGACACGAAGGAUUUUGUUAAUUUUAGAAUUGAUGAUGCUGGUGGUGAUCACAAUGAUGAAAAUGCUAGAAGCUCUGAAGAUGAAGAGGCAGAAGCAGCUGCUCAGAGAAGGGUGAAACGGAAGAAUAAGUUAGCUUUAAUGAAAUCUGAGAAGGAUUCUGUUGAUCUUAAAUCAAAGAAGGCAAAGGUCCUUGUUGAGGCCCACAGAGCCGUUAGGAUGGUGGGCCGGUGACAUUAUAUUGGGCGGAAGGGAUGAGCUUGGCGGUGGCACAUGGUUGGGCUCCACCAGAGAUGGAAGGGUGGCUUUCCUCACCAAUUUCAGGGAAGUUGAAAGCCUUCUGGAACCCAAGACCAGGGGAGACUUGCCCCUCCGAUUCCUUCAGUGCUCUCACGUCAGAAAUCAAUUAAAUGGAAAGGAACAACAUGUUUUGAAUCACUCCAUAAGCCUGAAGGUGCAUCAUAGUUAAAUUUAUACUUGCAUAUGGGUAUCUGCACCAAAUAAUGGAGGGUACUUAGAUGACAAGUGGGUUCAAGGGGGGACCAACCUUGAUGCUUAUGAAAUUCGGCAUUGGCAUUUGAUCGAUGUUUUUGUCUACUUUUCACACAGUUUGGUUACUUUUAACACUGCUCAUCGCCUAACACAGUUUGGUGGUUAAUAUUAUUAAAGAUAAAUAUGGAGGUAAAUUUGGACCGAGGACAAAUUCCUAACUUAAAAGAGUUUGUAGAUCAUUUAUCGUCAUUGAUGCAUUCAUCUGUUGCUGGAUCGUUAGUGCUUUGGUACGAUAGUGUUACAGUUGACGGUGAUCUGAAUUGGCAAGACCAACUAAACUAUUACAAUAAACCUUUCUUUGACAUAUGUGAUGGGAUAUUUGUUAACUAUACAUGGAAGGCUAAAAUAUUCCAUUAUGGUUCCAUUAGCUUGAUUCAUGAUCCAUGCAAGUCAGCUCAUCUUGCCGCGUUGCGAAUUGCUAAAGAAUCUGGUUGUAUUCUCUCAUAUGAUCCAAAUUUGAGAUUGGCACUAUGGCCAUCAGCUGAGGCUGCUUAGAAAGGCAUAAUGAGUGUAUGGGACAAAGCUGAUAUCAUAAAGGUGCAGAGGAGAUUACAUUUUUGGUCGAGGGUGAUGAUCCUAACGAUGAUGAUGUUGUGUUAAAGAAGGUUUUUACCCUAAUCUCAAGCUAUUAAUUGUGACACAAGGUUUAGAGGGUUGUAGAUAUUACACCAAGGUAAGUUUACUACCAAGUCCAUUUGAGAGUGAGUGGCAUAAGCACUUGUUUCAUUGUUGAUUGUGUGCACAGAAAUUCAAAGGUCGGUGGCAGAUGUUAAAGUUAACCACAUUGAUACAACUGGGCCGGUGAUGCAUUUGUUAGUGGGAUUCUCUACGGCAUUUGCUCAUAAUCAAUGUGGAGCUUGAUGCUGCCAAUGCAAUUUGGUUAUCCAUUAAUAUUUUAGAUUGUUCCAUCUUUAAGUAUUAAGUGUAUUGUUAAUGAAAGAGAUCCAUGUAACAUUAGGAUGGUCAUCUUAUUUUUUUAGGUAUCUUUUUAGUGAGAAAGUGAGAUAUUGGCCAAUGAUGUUGAAAAAUAACAUCCAAUUUUAUAGGUAUCAUGUAAUGAAUAUUAUGUUUAUCUAUAUGAUAUUUGGCUUUUUUUUUU